AGCGUUCUCUGUGCCUUUCUUCUGUGUUUUUCAGCUCCUGCCUCAUGAAAGGAAAAUUGGGAAAUCAAGAUAAGGAGACUAUCCUGUCUCCACCCCCACUCUCAAAUGCUCACCUGAGGGAGAGACACAGAAUAGCCAUACUUGUCUUUGAGAUGCAAAAGAAGCUACCAGGACUCUAACUUCAAGGAGAGCCCAAGAACUGGGGCAGAAAAAUGCCAAAUGUUUAACAGGUAAUUCACGAACUAUGUCAAUGAACUGAAGAAUUACUGCAGAAUCCAGUCAUCCAGAAAGUUCACAUUAGAAGAAUCAGCAUUAGAAAUGCUGUAGAAUAUAUAAAUAUGUGAAAGUAGAGCCUACCAAAAAAAAAUAUUUAUCAUCAAUAACUUAUGUGAUUCUUCUAUUAACUGUUCAGUGGAUUUUCACUUCUCAAGUCUUAGUCAAUGUGAAUUAUAUACAUUUCAAGCUCUGUGAUGCUUUAUCUGGUUAGCUUUGUCUUUAAACACUAAGCAGCUGGUUUUGAGAGCUGAAUUUUUUAACACUCAACAUCCAAACUGAAGAGGCAACUGCUGUUUGCUAUGCAUGGGGUAUCUAUAUUCAAUGAUAAAUCUGGGUUUAAACUUUAAUGUGACACUUCAUAAAUAAAUAGGGAAAACUGCAUAAUUAUCCCAAA
Molecule: long non-coding RNA, 670 nt
Organism: Bubalus bubalis (water buffalo)
Lineage: Eukaryota; Metazoa; Chordata; Mammalia; Artiodactyla; Bovidae
Exons: 2
Source: RefSeq, a predicted model, not a curated record